CGGUACAGCGGGAAGCCAGGCGGCGACGCCGAGCGGACCCGAAAGCCGUUCUCAGUUCGGAUCGGAGUCUGCAACCCGACUCCGUGAAGCUGGAUUCGCUAGUAAUCGCGCAUCAGCCAUGGCGCGGUGAAUACGUUCCCGGGCCUUGUACACACCGCCCGUCAAGCCAUGGGAGCCGGGGGUGCUUGAAGUGCGUCGCCGCGAGGCGCGCCCUAGAGCAAAACCGGUGACUGGGGCUAAGUCGUAACAAGGUAGC
Molecule: ribosomal RNA, 256 nt
Filed under: uncultured bacterium
Lineage: Bacteria
Description: partial 16S ribosomal RNA
Rfam family: Bacterial small subunit ribosomal RNA
Source: RNAcentral